GUGCCAGCAGCCGCGGUAAUACGUAGGUGGCAAGCGUUAUCCGGAAUUAUUGGGCGUAAAGCGCGCGCAGGUGGUUUCUUAAGUCUGAUGUGAAAGCCCACGGCUCAACCGUGGAGGGUCAUUGGAACCUGGGAGACUUGAGUGCAGAAGGGGAAAGUGGAAUUCCAUGUGUAGCGGUGAAAUGCGUAGAUAUAUGGAGGAACACCAGGGGCGAAGGAGAUUUUCUGGUCUGUAACUGACACUGAGGCGCGAAA
This 254-nucleotide ribosomal RNA is filed under the name uncultured bacterium. RNAcentral's name for it is "partial 16S rRNA". It matches the Rfam family "Bacterial small subunit ribosomal RNA", at positions 505 to 758 of the family's 1533-position model. The record is from RNAcentral.